UUCUAUAUAGAACACAACACAACACAUAAAACUACAUACACUCGUUCACAUGACAAUCAGUUUAACCAUCGAAUCUUGCAUACCUAGGAACUUCAAACUUCACCCAGAUAACCAUACAGUCACACUUUCCACAAAGUCAUAAAUAUUGCGAUCUACAAAUAAAAUGCUUUGCGAGUAUAAAAGCUAGCUACUCUUGGAUACACCUCGUGCGCGAAGAAGGCCUUGUCGUCCACUCCCAAGCAGCAAGAUGUUAGUGGAGCAUCCCUCACCGAACCUACAGGAAGUUUCACAUAUAGUUAGAAAAACUGGAAACAUACAACAUGGACUACACAACAUAGCAUUGACGAAAAACUAAGAGCAUGUAACUAAACCUCCUACAGUUCAAAUUGUGUUAAGCAUGUGACACAAAGCAUUUUUUUAUAUUUCAGCAUGAUGGACCAUAAAACAUAACUUGUUAAUUGCAUGUUUACUAACUAUAGAUCAUGUUGUCGCCAACCAAAAGCAUUAGGCAAUGAAGCACAAUGUAUUUCCAAUGCAAUCCGUUAGCCAACCACCAAUAUGAUAGUCCAUAUGGGUAUUACAUCAUGGAAAAACCAACAAAUAAGUGCAGAUGACAAGAAACAAGAGCACAGAGGUCGUACAACACAUGGCACAUGCUCCAUGACACCAACCAAGCAAAGAAUGCACAAACAAGAUGCACACCUUCUUUGGUGUCUCAUCAUAUGCCAUGAUAUGUGUGUUGGGAUGUACUUAACUAGACUUCCUUCCUGUCAUGCUAGGUCAUGAUCUGUAUAAAAAGAAGAUGGAGGGGAGGAACAUCAAGUAGAGCAUGUAUGGAGCAUCAUAAUGAUAGUACCGAGAUCAAUCAAGUAAUCCUAACGAGGCACGAAUCUCACAAUGUUGCCAACAAGGCAAGAACCUCAUUGAUCUUGUCCUUGAAGUUCUCUAACUCCAUGUUGUUCCACUGCAGCUCGGUAUUUGCUCAAUCGUGUGUGUACAUGCAUCAGGGCAUACAUAAAAUGUUGAAGUUAAUAUUCUCAGCUAACUAUGAUGUAAUCAAAAUAGUUACUUAAGUACUUGGGGUAAAAUUUGAUUUUAGACAUCAAAAUUUGCAUCUCUCAUUUCAACCAUGUUCUUAUAAACUUGAGGUAAAUUAGCAGUAAGAAUAUUAGUUACAAGCUAGGUGAAACAUAAACAAAGUCCUAUUGUAUUUAUGGAUCCCAACUUGUUUGAACAAGAGUAGAUUGUUCAACUUGUACAAUCUAGCAGUCUAAAAAUAGAGAACUAUGUUCAUUAUCAAUUACGCAUUAAUUACAAUAGAAAUGAAAGACACUAAUAUAAGGAAGUACUUAGAACAAAGUAUACAUUAAAUAUAUUGUAGAAUCUCUAGCAUUGUUGUUCUUUGCAUAUUAAAACCAAUGGCUGCCAACUAUGGAUCAUCACUAAUAAAUUUGCAUAUCAUGCUACCACUUAAUUUCAGCUACCAAAAGCUAUAAUUAGGUACUAACUCGCACUAGCUAGCAGCAAACCUAAGCUUUCUUGUGCUCAACACCCUGAUAUGUACUCCACCAGACAUUAAAUGUUGCCCACACUUGAUCACCUACAGGGAAGAGUUCCAGCAGCAAUGCAAUGCAAUGCAAUGGGGAUCCA
RNAcentral lists this long non-coding RNA (1650 nucleotides) under Hordeum vulgare. Its description in RNAcentral is "long non-coding RNA (HVUL_LNC015310)". The record is from RNAcentral. Lineage: Eukaryota; Viridiplantae; Streptophyta; Magnoliopsida; Poales; Poaceae.